AAGACACUAGUAAAAUAGCAAUUACAUUACUUUGUCAAGGUAAAAUUGUGGGUUAAAGCCCCACGUGUCUUA
RNAcentral lists this transfer RNA (72 nucleotides) under Torquigener hypselogeneion (orange-spotted toadfish). RNAcentral describes it as "tRNA-Asp". It matches the Rfam family "tRNA". Rfam says of the family: Transfer RNA (tRNA) molecules are approximately 80 nucleotides in length. Their secondary structure includes four short double-helical elements and three loops (D, anti-codon, and T loops). Lineage: Eukaryota; Metazoa; Chordata; Actinopteri; Tetraodontiformes; Tetraodontidae. The record is from RNAcentral.